This 619-nucleotide ribosomal RNA is filed under the name uncultured bacterium. RNAcentral's name for it is "bacterial SSU rRNA". It matches the Rfam family "Bacterial small subunit ribosomal RNA", at positions 338 to 948 of the family's 1533-position model. The record is from RNAcentral.
CCUACGGGAGGCAGCAGUGGGGAAUUUUGGACAAUGGGCGCAAGCCUGAUCCAGCAAUGCCGCGUGAGUGAAGAAGGCCUUCGGGUUGUAAAGCUCUUUUGUCAGGGAAGAAACGGCUGAGGUUAAUACCUUUGGCUAAUGACGGUACCUGAAGAAUAAGCACCGGCUAACUACGUGCCAGCAGCCGCGGUAAUACGUAGGGUGCAAGCGUUAAUCGGAAUUACUGGGCGUAAAGCGUGCGCAGGCGGUUUUGUAAGUCUGACGUGAAAUCCCCGGGCUCAACCUGGGAAUUGCGUUGGAGACUGCAAGGCUGGAGUCUGGCAGAGGGGGGUAGAAUUCCACGUGUAGCAGUGAAAUGCGUAGAGAUGUGGAGGAACACCGAUGGCGAAGGCAGCCCCCUGGGUCAAGACUGACGCUCAUGCACGAAAGCGUGGGGAGCAAACAGGAUUAGAUACCCUGGUAGUCCACGCCCUAAACGAUGUCUACUAGUUGUCGGGUCUUAAUUGACUUGGUAACGCAGCUAACGCGUGAAGUAGACCGCCUGGGGAUACGGUCGCAAAGNUUAAAACUCAAAANAGAGUAGACGNGNGAGAGNGCGAGACGACGACGAGGGAGGAGG